Sinocyclocheilus rhinocerous is the source of this 113-nucleotide ribosomal RNA. The record is from Ensembl. Lineage: Eukaryota; Metazoa; Chordata; Actinopteri; Cypriniformes; Cyprinidae.
ACCUGCAGCAUCACGCUGAAGCUCUCACCUGCACACCCACUGAAGCUGAGCAGGGCUGAGCCUAGUCAGGAUCUGGAUGGGAGACGCCUGGGAAGACCCGGUUGCUGCUGGAG